Molecule: ribosomal RNA, 505 nt
Filed under: uncultured bacterium
Lineage: Bacteria
Description: partial 16S ribosomal RNA
Rfam family: Bacterial small subunit ribosomal RNA
Source: RNAcentral
GACGAACGCUGGCGGCGUGCCUAAUACAUGCAAGUAGAACGCACAGUUUAUACCGUAGCUUGCUACACCAUAGACUGUGAGUUGCGAACGGGUGAGUAACGCGUAGGUAACCUGCCUGGUAGCGGGGGAUAACUAUUGGAAACGAUAGCUAAUACCGCAUAAUAUUAAUUAUUGCAUGAUAAUUGAUUGAAAGAUGCAACUGCAUCACUACCAGAUGGACCUGCGUUGUAUUAGCUAGUAGGUGAGGUAACGGCUCACCUAGGCGACGAUACAUAGCCGAGCUCCGCGGGUCGUCGGCCAACCUGGGACGCGGACACGGGCCCGACUUCUACGUGAGGCAGCAGUAGGGCAUCUUCGGCAAUGGACGAAAGUCGGACCGAGCAACCCCGCGCGAGUGAAGAAUGUUUUCGUAUUGUAAAGAUCUGUUGUAAGAGAAGAAAGGGUGUGAGAGUGGAAAGCUCACACUGUGACGGUAUCUUACCAGAAAGGGACGGCUAACUACGUG